RNAcentral lists this ribosomal RNA (399 nucleotides) under Triticum aestivum (bread wheat). Its description in RNAcentral is "partial small subunit ribosomal RNA". The record is from RNAcentral. Lineage: Eukaryota; Viridiplantae; Streptophyta; Magnoliopsida; Poales; Poaceae.
GACCCCGAGUAUAUUGAUUUUGUAAAGGCCCGUCUUAGUGAGCAGUUUCUUAUGUCUGAUCUUGGACCUCUUCGCUACUUUCUUGGGAUUGAAGUCUCUUCGACCUCUGAUGGCUUUUUUAUAUCCCAGGAAAAGUAUAUCCAGGAUCUUCUUGCUCGUGCUGCUCUUACUGACGAGCGCAUUGUUGAGACUCCUAUGGAGCUCAAUGUUCACCUUCGUGCUACUGAUGGUGAUCCCCUUCCUGACCCGACGCGUUAUCGUCAUCUUGUUGGCAGUCUUGUCUAUCUAGCUGUCACUCAUCCGGAUAUCUCUUAUCCGGUUCAUAUUCUGAGUCAGUUCGUCUCUGCUCCCACAUCGGUUCACUAUAGUCAUCUCCUUCGUGUUCUCCGAUAUCUUCGG